CCUACGUGAGGCAGCAGUGGGGAAUAUUGGGCAAUGGGCGCAAGCCUGACCCAGCAACGCCGCGUGAAGGAAGAAGGCUUUCGGGUUGUAAACUUCUUUUUAGAGGGAAGAGCAGAAGACGGUACCUCUUGAAUAAGCCACGGCUAACUACGUGCCAGCAGCCGCGGUAAUACGUAGGUGGCAAGCGUUGUCCGGAUUGAUUGGGUGUAAAGGGCGUGUAGGCGGGAGCGCAAGUCAGAUGUGAAAACUCAGGGCUCAACCCUGAGCCUGCAUUUGAAACUGUGUUUCUUGAGUGCUGGAGAGGCAAUCGGAAUUCCGUGUGUAGCGGUGAAAUGCGUAGAUAUACGGAGGAACACCAGUGGCGAAGGCGGAUUGCUGGACAGUAACUGACGCUGAGGCGCGAAAGCGUGGGGAGCAAACAGGAUUAGAUACCCUAGUAGUC
This 442-nucleotide ribosomal RNA is filed under the name uncultured bacterium. RNAcentral describes it as "partial 16S ribosomal RNA". It matches the Rfam family "Bacterial small subunit ribosomal RNA", at positions 338 to 795 of the family's 1533-position model. The record is from RNAcentral.